CAGCCGCCGCGGGAAUACGAAGGGUGCAAGCGUUAAUCGGAAUUACUGGGCGUAAAGCGUGCGUAGGCGGUGAGUUAAGUCUGCUGUGAAAUCCCCGGGCUCAACCUGGGAAUGGCAGUGGAUACUGGCUCGCUAGAGUGUGUCAGAGGAUGGUGGAAUUCCCGGUGUAGCAGUGAAAUGCGUAGAGAUCGGGAGGAACAUCAGUGGCGAAGGCGGCCAUCUGGGACAACACUGACGCUGAGGCACGAAAGCGUGGGGAGCAAACAGGAUUAGAUACCCCCGUAGUCCCUGUCUCUUAUAC
RNAcentral lists this ribosomal RNA (301 nucleotides) under uncultured bacterium. Its description in RNAcentral is "partial 16S ribosomal RNA". It matches the Rfam family "Bacterial small subunit ribosomal RNA", at positions 509 to 807 of the family's 1533-position model. The record is from RNAcentral.